RNAcentral lists this ribosomal RNA (497 nucleotides) under uncultured bacterium. RNAcentral's name for it is "partial 16S ribosomal RNA". It matches the Rfam family "Bacterial small subunit ribosomal RNA", at positions 28 to 507 of the family's 1533-position model. The record is from RNAcentral.
GAUGAACGCUGGCGGCGUGCCUAAUACAUGCAAGUCGAGCGAACGGACGAGAAGCUAGCUUUUCUGAUGUUAGCGGCGGACGGGUGAGUAACACGUGGAUAACCUACCUAUAAGACUGGGAUAACUUCGGGAAACCGGAGCUAAUACCGGAUAAUAUUUUGAACCGCAUGGUUCAAAAGUGAAAGACGGUCUUGCUGUCACUUAUAGAUGGAUCCGCGCUGCAUCAGCUAGUUGGUAAGGUAACGGCUUACCAAGGCAACGAUGCAUAGCCGACCUGAGAGGGUGAUCGGCCACACUGGAACUGAGACACGGUCCAGAAUCCUACGGGAGGCAGCAGUAGGGAAUCUUCCGCAAUGGGCGAAAGCCUGACGGAGCAACGCCGCGUGAGUGAUGAAGGUCUUCGGAUCGUAAAACUCUGUUAUUAGGGAAGAACAUAUGUGUAAGUAACUGUGCACAUCUUGACGGUACCUAAUCAGAAAGCCACGGCUAACUACGUG